Molecule: long non-coding RNA, 1355 nt
Organism: Cyanistes caeruleus (blue tit)
Lineage: Eukaryota; Metazoa; Chordata; Aves; Passeriformes; Paridae
Source: Ensembl
CAAGGAUGCUCGAGGAGAGAUGAGGGAGGAUUUUGUAUAUGAUAGGCUUUUUUGGUGGUGGUGUUUGAUUUUGUGAAUUGUUCCAAAUCUGUGAAGGAAGGAGGCUGUAACGUGGCCAAAUCCUACUGGAUUCAGUGUCUGACAUCCACAGGGACUUCUGGAGCAAGACAGAAGAAAUGCUGGAGCUGAUGCAGGAAUAAGGGGAUAUAAAAAUGUCCUCAUCUCUAACCAAGCAAAAGGCCUGCAGCAGCAACUGCAAGCAGAAGCAAGGUGAAAAUAAGAACUCCUGGAGUGUGCAGUCACAUGAAUUUUCUCACCCAAACCUUAGGAGCAGUGAGCUUCUCUUCAGAGUUGCUUUUGGAAAGAAUGAAAGCACUUGACACUUUGGAACUUUGACUCAUUCAAAGGUUUGGUACAACACAAUUUCACAUUGAUUCUUUUUUUCCCCCUCAAAAAAGCAAACUGACACUGAUGUCACCUGUAAUAACUCAUCAGUUGACUUAAGACACAGUGUCCUCGAAUUUGUAAAUAUUUUCAGCUGUGUCAGACAAGUGGCUUUUAGAGCAAGUGGAAAACACCCAGUGCUGCCCAUCAGCGAGGUCCUGUCAGGGUAAAACACAGACAGGGGAGAAAGGAGACCUGAUACCCUGUCCUUAUGAUUCAGGAGCUUGAGGGAGCUCAAAACACUUCAUCUUCAAAACAUCACCUGUCUCCCUACAGCUUUCCUGGCUUCUGAAAACCCUUUUACAGUCUGUCAGCUUCCCAGUCAGCAGAGCCAACACCACAAUUAAGAAAUUUAAGGGAAAAAAAAUAUUUUAAGCUUUUUUUUGUUUUGUUUUUUGGUGGGUUUUGGUUGUUUGUUUUUUUUUUUCCAGGGGUCUUUUCUUCUGUGGUUGCAUGUGUCUUUAGCAAGGACAGCUCUGGAUGCUGGGUGGACCCUGCUUGGAUUAAUGACAGAUGGAGCAGCUGAGGUUGCAGUGAUGAAGCACAUCCACACUCUCCUCCUUCCCUCCCUCCCAGCUUCACCCUCCUCUGUAAAUCAAGCAAGAGACAAACCAGAUCCCCUCUGCCUUUUGUUAUCAGUGCCGUGGAUAAUCCCCCCCUGGUAACAAUCCAUGUGGCCAAUAAUCAAUCCAAGGGAGGGGAUUAGCAGCAGUGAGAAAAUGCACCGUGACCAAACACUUCUCCUUGCACCCUUGCUGCUGCUCAGAAAAUCGUCGGGACAAGCACCUUCUCAGGCUAAUUGCUGACAAAUGUGAGAUAAACAGCCUGCUAUCACAACCAGCUCCCCUCCCUCUUUAAGGGAAGGGGUACAAUUAAAGCCUUCAGCAUUACACAGAUCGUGACAUCCGUUU